CUUGGUCAUUUAGAGGAAGUAACGGUUGUAACAAGGUUUCCGUAGGUGAACCUGCGGAAGGAUCAUUAACAAGAAAUUCUGCUGCAGUGCCCUUUCGGGGGGUGCUGUAGUAUAUUAUCUCGGUCCGAGUCGCAAGGCUUGGACUGAUAAAUUAAUGUGUGUAUGUGUUGACAAUGUGUGUGAGAUUAAUUAGUAGACAACUUUUAACAAUGGAUCUCUAGGCUCUUGCAGCGAUGAAGAACGCAGUAAAGUGCGAAAAGUGAUGCGAUUUGCAUGAAUCUGUGAGUCAUCUAGUUUUUGAACGCAAAUGGCACUCUUGUGUAAGCAGGAGUAUGUCUGUUUGAGAAUCCCAAAACCGAUCAACACCUGUGGGGGUUGGCACUGGCGUUCCGUGCAGUAAUGUGCGGUCUGCCUGAAUGAAUUCAGGUUGAUGAGCUCCGACUGAGCUCCAAAUGUGCUAAAAGACUGUGGUCUUUCGUCAUUUGGGUGCGCAGUUGCAAAGCUCUAGUAAACAACCUUAACACAUAUCAAUUAGGAUCUCAAAUCAGGCAAGAUUACCCGCUGAACUUAAGCAUAUCAAUAAGCGGAGGA
Molecule: ribosomal RNA, 591 nt
Filed under: uncultured fungus
Lineage: Eukaryota; Fungi
Description: eukaryotic LSU rRNA
Rfam family: 5.8S ribosomal RNA (bases 199-350)
Source: RNAcentral